AAGGAUUUAAGUUAAUAAAACUAUUAACCUUCAAAGUUAAAAUUAGAUUGCGAAUCUAAGCCUUA
This 65-nucleotide transfer RNA is filed under the name Chrysomeloidea sp. 3 KM-2017. RNAcentral's name for it is "tRNA-Trp". Lineage: Eukaryota; Metazoa; Arthropoda; Insecta; Coleoptera. The record is from RNAcentral.